AACGAACGCUGGCGGCAGGCCUAACACAUGCAAGUCGAACGCCCUGGCAACAGGGAGUAGCAGACGGGUGAGUAACGCGUGGGAACGUGCCCUUCGGUUCGGAAUAACUCAGGGAAACUUGAGCUAAUACCGGAUACGUGCGAGAGCAGAAAGAUUUAUCGCCGAAGGAUCGGCCCGCGUCCGAUUAGCUAGUUGGUGAGGUAACGGCUCACCAAGGCGACGAUCGGUAGCUGGUCUGAGAGGAUGAUCAGCCACACUGGGACUGAGACACGGCCCAGACUCCUACGGGAGGCAGCAGUGGGGAAUAUUGGACAAUGGGCGCAAGCCUGAUCCAGCCAUGCCGCAUGAGUGAUGAAGGCCCUAGGGUUGUAAAGCUCUUUCGCCAGGGACGAUAAUGACGGUACCUGGAUAAGAAGGACCGGCCAACUACGUGCCAGCAGCCGCAGUAA
This 449-nucleotide ribosomal RNA is filed under the name uncultured bacterium. RNAcentral describes it as "partial 16S ribosomal RNA". It matches the Rfam family "Bacterial small subunit ribosomal RNA", at positions 29 to 523 of the family's 1533-position model. The record is from RNAcentral.